AAAAGAAAGAUGUAUUAUGAGAGAGAGGGAGUGAGAGAGUGAGAGGAAGAGGAAGAAACAGAAGCGGUGGUUGAGAUUCUUGACGUUAGAUCGUUCUUCCACCUCAAAACGAUCCAAGAGGACAGGCCACACAGUUAGACAAAUAGACAGACAGAAAGACAGACAAGAAGACAGGUAGAGAGAGACAGAUAAAGACUUGAUAAGCCACCACGAACUAGAAUUUUGUGAACUAACAUUCUGUAUAGGCUUUCUUUACAACAUAGCAAAAGUAAAACAACAAAAACAGAACGAAAAAGACGACGAUGACAUAGUGAAGAAACGAGAGAAAAAGAGAGAAAAACGAACAAGAAAUUAAAGAUAUAACCCCAAACAAGACAAGGCUAUAUAUAUUCGGACAUGUGUGUAUAUAUACAUGCAUACACAUAAAUUCAAACCAAUAAAACGUAUGUGUGUAUAUAUAUAGAUAUAUAUAUGUAUAUAUGUAAAUAGCAAUUUAGACUAAAGAAAAAUCUAUAUUAUUAUUAUAAAAUAUAUUAUAAAAAUAUUAAAUACGCGGUAAGACUGUGACAGUGAGAGACAGAAAGACAGACUUAUAUAUAUAUAUACACAUAUAUAAAUAUAUAUAUAUAUAUAUAUAUAUAUAUAUAUAUAAAUAAUAUAUCAAGAUAGAUUUCCUGUUUCAACACAAGAAAGAUAAUAGCCAGCGUUAUAAGACUGGCAUAGAAACAACGUUUACACGAGCAAUUGAAAUAAGAACCAACCAUGAGACUGCUAAUAAGUCUCGCGAUAAUCUCGCUGGUAGUGAUGGUAUGUUGCAGUCAUCCCAUGGAAAUGAGAAAAAAGAAAGACGGCGAUGAGAAGGCAAUGCCACUCAAUACUGACAGAAACAGCCACGCAGAGAAAAGAGCCAAAGAGGUGUUGAUGUUUGGCAACCAACAGAACUCGCCCAGAGUGAAAAAAUCCGACCCCAAACCAGAUAAGGAGGUGCCUCUUACUGGCCUGAAUAGUGACGAAGACAGCAAGGAA
Long non-coding RNA from Octopus bimaculoides (California two-spot octopus), 1026 nucleotides. NCBI's taxonomy places the organism in Eukaryota, Metazoa, Mollusca, Cephalopoda, Octopoda, Octopodidae. The record is from RefSeq and is a predicted model, not a curated record.